CGAACCUGACCUAAACUCCCUGUUUGCAGCCAAUAUGGAAAAAUAAUUAACCUACUCAACCAUUUUCGUACCUGACUCGUAUGAACCAAAAUAUUGAAAUAAAUCUAAACUUACUCCCUCAACCACACAUACAUAAUCUCUUAUUAUUCUCUCACUGAAACCCUACAGCACCUUCUUCAUUUUUCAUCGGUCGUUACACCUCAAUUGUCUGAAUCACUGCAUCGAUCAUCAUCUCUACUUGUGGUGUGCGUUUUGUCUGUUAAACCGUGUUCAAUUUCUGCCUUAGUUUCCUCUUCUUCUCCUCUCUCAGUCAGAUUUUCACUAUUUUGUCUUCGACUCUUUUUCCUUCAUGGAAAUGUAUAUCACUUCUUCCAUGGCAUAUUUACAUGUGGUAUUGAAGUUUUGUGCAAUUGGUGGAUUCGUUGGAAGAAGUUUUUUGGAACUUAUGUGUUGGAGUGUGUUGCAUAAAUGAGGGAAUCUCACUAUUUACAGUUUGCUCAUGGAUUUUCAUAGCCUUUUGGGUUCUCAGAGAUGGGUUUGGAUUGGAUAAUGAAUCUAACAACUAUAUGUAUAUGUCUCCUAAUCCUCUCCAUUGCGAUAUAAACUCGUUAGCUCCAAGCACAACAUCUUCUUCCUUUUUCUCUACCAUUAAUUCUUUAUUUUCUUUGCUCAUUCUUUACCGCUCAAGAUUGAUUUGUUGGGAGUGGGGUGGGAGAGUGUUUUAUACUUGAGAUUGUUGAUCAGUCUUUUUUUCUUCUUUAAGUUAAAAAUUAAAGAAUUAUUGUUUAUAAAACUUCUUGAAACAUC
RNAcentral lists this long non-coding RNA (807 nucleotides) under Olea europaea subsp. europaea. Lineage: Eukaryota; Viridiplantae; Streptophyta; Magnoliopsida; Lamiales; Oleaceae. The record is from RNAcentral.